UACGUAGGGUGCAAGCGUUGUCCGGAAUUAUUGGGCGUAAAGAGCUCGUAGGCGGUCUGUCGCGUCGGCUGUGAAAACCCGGAGCUCAACUCCGGGCCUGCAGUCGAUACGGGCAGACUGGAGUUCGGCAGGGGAGACUGGAAUUCCUGGUGUAGCGGUGAAGUGCGCAGAUAUCAGGAGGAACACCGGUGGCGAAGGCGGGUCUCUGGGCCGAUACUGACGCUGAGGAGCGAAAGCGUGGGGAGCGAACAGG
This 253-nucleotide ribosomal RNA is filed under the name uncultured bacterium. Its description in RNAcentral is "partial 16S ribosomal RNA". It matches the Rfam family "Bacterial small subunit ribosomal RNA", at positions 524 to 776 of the family's 1533-position model. The record is from RNAcentral.